GCCCGCGUAGCUCAGCGGUAGAGCAACCGCCUUGUAAGCGGUAGGCCGCCGGUUCGAUCCCGGCCGCGGGCU
Molecule: transfer RNA, 72 nt
Filed under: Elusimicrobiota bacterium
Lineage: Bacteria; Pseudomonadati; Elusimicrobiota
Description: Elusimicrobia bacterium tRNA-Thr
Rfam family: tRNA
About the family: Transfer RNA (tRNA) molecules are approximately 80 nucleotides in length. Their secondary structure includes four short double-helical elements and three loops (D, anti-codon, and T loops).
Source: RNAcentral